GGCCAUACCACCCUGAAUGUGCCUGCUCUCGUCUGAUCUUGGAAGCUAAGCAGGGUCGGGCCUGGUUAGUCCUUGGAUGGGAGACACGUACAAGACUUUUCAGAGCC
RNAcentral lists this ribosomal RNA (107 nucleotides) under Propithecus coquereli (Coquerel's sifaka). The record is from RNAcentral. Lineage: Eukaryota; Metazoa; Chordata; Mammalia; Primates; Indriidae.